Molecule: transfer RNA, 68 nt
Filed under: Engaeus cunicularius
Lineage: Eukaryota; Metazoa; Arthropoda; Malacostraca; Decapoda; Parastacidae
Description: tRNA-Leu
Source: RNAcentral
AUCUAAAAUAGCAGAUUAUCGCAUAGGGCUUAAACCCCUACAAAGAAGAACACCACCCUUCUUUUAGA